CAUUGUCGUGACCCUGACCAAAAUAGACCGUGAACGCGUAAUCCAGCCCGCCGGUCGGCGACUCACCUCGUCGUUCGGCCAAGUCCUCGACAACCUCCUCUCCUCGGAGCGGGGGCUCGGGGUAAAAGAACCCACGGCGCCUAAGGCGUCAAGGAACACUGUGCCUAACUCGGGGACGCGUCUGGCUUGCUGGUCGCCCCCCGUGUUGCAAAGCUAUAUAAUCCACACGACUCUCGGCAACGGAUAUCUCGGCUCUCGCAUCGAUGAAGAACGUAGCGAAAUGCGAUACCUGGUGUGAAUUGCAGAAUCCCGCGAACCAUCGAGUCUUUGAACGCAAGUUGCGCCCGAGGCCAUUCGGCCGAGGGCACGCCUGCCUGGGCGUCACGCCAAACACGCUCCCAAACCCC
RNAcentral lists this unclassified non-coding RNA (407 nucleotides) under Helictochloa pratensis subsp. pratensis. RNAcentral's name for it is "sequence contains ITS1, 5.8S rRNA gene, ITS2". The stretch from base 229 to 384 matches the Rfam family "5.8S ribosomal RNA". The record is from RNAcentral. Lineage: Eukaryota; Viridiplantae; Streptophyta; Magnoliopsida; Poales; Poaceae.